This 25-nucleotide non-coding RNA is filed under the name Cricetulus griseus (Chinese hamster). Lineage: Eukaryota; Metazoa; Chordata; Mammalia; Rodentia; Cricetidae. The record is from RNAcentral.
UGCUAAGGGUGUCUGUUUUUAUUUU